UCGAAGGCCUGUCCCAGUUCGGACUGGAGUCUGCAACCCGACUCCACGAAGUUGGAUUCGCUAGUAAUCGCGCAUCAGCCAUGGCGCGGUGAAUACGUUCCCGGGCCUUGUACACACCGCCCGUCAAGCCAUGGGAGCCGGGGGCGCCUGAAGUCCGGGACCGCGAGGACCGGCCUAGGGCGAAACUGGUAACUGGGGCUAAGUCGUAACAAGGUACC
This 218-nucleotide ribosomal RNA is filed under the name uncultured bacterium. Its description in RNAcentral is "partial 16S ribosomal RNA". It matches the Rfam family "Bacterial small subunit ribosomal RNA", at positions 1275 to 1500 of the family's 1533-position model. The record is from RNAcentral.